GUGCAACGGGGCCCGGGCGUGGGAAGGAACGGGGGGAGCGUGCAAAGAGCGGGGGCGUGCAAGGAGGGGGGGCGAGCGUGCAAAUAGAGCGGCGGGUGUGCAAAGAACGGGCGGAGCGCGCGUGCCGCGGGGGGGCCCGGGGAGUGCGCGGGGAGGGGUGGGGGUGUGCAAAGGCGCGGGUGAGUGUGCAAAGGGGCAGGUGAGCGUGCAAGGGCAAGGAGUGGAGGGGGGGGCGUGCAGGGCUCGCAGGGAGCGUGCACAGCUGGCGCUGAGCGUGCACGGUUGCUAUGGAGCGUGCACACCUGGCGGUGAGCGUGCAAAGCUGGCGGUGAGCGUGCAAGGCUCUCGGGGCGAGGGUGAGCGCAGGGAUUGCAGGGAGCGUGCACAGCUGGCUCUGAGCGUGCAAGGCAGGUAGUGAGCGUGCAAGGCUGGCAGCUGGCGUGCAAGGCUCUCGGGGCGUGCACCGAGUGUGCAAAGGUGUAGGGAGGUGCAUGUGCAGAUCUGAGGGGAGCGCGGUGAGUGUGCAAUGAGCGUGCACAGGGCCCGGGCUGAGGGCUGAGGGGGCACCGCGUGUGCAACGUGCGCGUGCAUGGCUGUGGGGGGGGGCACGGCCUGCAGGGAGCGUGCAAAGCUCCAGGGCUCAGCGUGAGCGUGCACAGCUGCUGGUGAGCGUGCAAGGCUCGAGGGUGCGAAGCUCUGAGGUGAGGCGUCGGUUUGCACGGGCAGAGGGGAGUGAGCGUGCACAGCUCUGAGGCCGUGCACUACUGGAGAUGAGUGUGUGAUGCUGUAGAGCUGCGUGUGUGAGGCUCCCGGGCAAAGUGUGAGCUUGCACAAUUCGAGGUGAACGUGCAAGGCUGUAGUGGUGCACGUGCAGAGCUCCCGGGCGCAGUGUGAGCUUGCACAACUGGAGGGGAGCGUGCGAGUUCCGUGCACUGAGCGUGAACAGGUCUAGAAGCAUGAGUUUGCACAAUGGCAGAUGAGUGUGCAAGGAACUAGGGCCGCUUGUGCAAAGCUGCAGGGUUGAGCAUGCACUUGCACGACUGGUGGUGAGCGUGCAAAGCUCCAGAGCUGAGUGUGCAGAGCUUGAGGUCUCAGGGCACGCUUGCACUGCUGGAGGUGAGUGUGCAAAGCUCUAGGGCUCGGUGUGCACUUGCACGGCAGGAGGUGAGUGUGCAAGGCCCCGGAGCUGUGCGUGCAAAGCUUGUUGGCGUAGCAUGAGCUUGCACACCUGCAGGUGAGCGUGCAAAGCCACCGAGCCAUCAUGCAGAGCGUGAGCUGGCACGGGGAGAGCUGAGCGUGCAAAGCUCCCCGGGUCCACGUGUGUGUGGAGGCGAGCGUGCGCGGCUGGCUGGGCGCAGUGUGCCCUUGCACACUUGUCGGUGAGCGUGCAAGGCCCGGCGGGGCGAGCGGAGCGUGCAUGGCCCGCUGUGAGCGCGCUGCCCCCCCCCCGGCGCUGAGCGUGCGCGGCCCCACGUGCUGCUGAGCCCCCCCCCCCCCAUACACACACGCUCAGUCCGGCUCACACGCGCGUGCAAAGCGGGUGGGGGGGGAUGCCGCAGCCCCCCGCUCCCCCCCCCCCAGCCCCCAACUGGGGGCCCCCGGGGCGCCCGUAGGGUCGGGAGCAGCGAUGUGGGGACCCCCCCAAGGCGGCCCCCCCUGGGCGGUUCGGGGCACUUUGGGGCCCCCCCACGGCGCCCGGCUGAGCCUGGAGGGAGGCAGCAGGACUGUGGCGGAUUACCACGGCGGCCGCUCCCGCAGGAAGAGCGUCCCCGGGGCAAACAGUACAGCAUCAACAUGGACGCACCGCCCGCCCCCCCCUUCCGGCCCUCGGUGAGCCCCCGCACACGCCUGUCGCCAUGGUGACCACGGCUGCACACGCCUGGCACCGCGGCUACCCGUCCUGCACACGCGUGUUGUUGUGGUGACCUCCAUCCUGCACACGCUUGUUGCCAUGGUUACCCCUCCUGGACAUACAUGUUGCCAUGGUUAUCCCUCCUGGACAUACGUGUUGUUGUGGUUAUUUCAUCCUGGACAUACAUGUUGCCAUGGUUACCCCAUCCUGGACAUACAUGUUGCCGUGGUUACCCUUCCUAGACACACAUGUUGUUGUGGUUACCCCAUCCUGCACACGCUUGUUGCCAUGGUUACCCCUCCUGGACAUACAUGUUGCCAUGGUUACCCCUCCUGGACACGCGUGUUGUUGUGGUUACCCCAUCCUGGACAUACGUGUUGUUGUGGUUAUUCCAUCCUGGACAUACAUGCUGUCAUGGUUACUUCUUCUGGACAUACAUGUUGCCAUGGUUACUCCUCCUGGACACACAUGUUGUUGUGGUUACCCCAUUCUGCACAUGCUUGUUGCCAUGGUUACUUCUCCUGGACAUACAUGUUGCUAUGGUUGCCUCAUCCUGGACACGCUUGUUGCCAUGGUUACCCCUCCCGGCCAUACAUGUUGCCGUGUUUCCCGCGCUGCUCCUGCUCACGGUUGCUGCUGUUCCCGCCUCCAUGACACGCCUGUAGCCGUGCUUCCCGUGGCUGUGCACGCCUUCACACCCGUGUUGCUGCGGUUGCCGCCUCCCGCACACGCCUGUCGCCAUGGCGACCCCACGCUGGGCUGCCACGGUGCCCCAUCCCGCACACGGCUGCCGCUGCUCACCCGCCUGCCCUGCGUUGCCGUGGUGACCCCAUCCUGCACACGCGUGUUGUCACGGUUCCCCGUGCUGCGCACACACCCC
This 2732-nucleotide long non-coding RNA is filed under the name Gallus gallus (chicken). The record is from RNAcentral. Lineage: Eukaryota; Metazoa; Chordata; Aves; Galliformes; Phasianidae.